GCGCACGCGCCGGGAGAGUGCGCGCGAUGGGCUCCAUGCCCGUUGCCAGCGCCGCCGAAGGGGCACACCCGCAAACUCUCAGGCAAAAGGACCGGUCGCGUCGAA
Molecule: non-coding RNA, 105 nt
Filed under: Trinickia caryophylli
Lineage: Bacteria; Pseudomonadati; Pseudomonadota; Betaproteobacteria; Burkholderiales; Burkholderiaceae
Description: Paraburkholderia caryophylli Glycine sequence
Rfam family: Glycine riboswitch aptamer
About the family: This family represents the bacterial glycine riboswitch. Glycine riboswitches usually consist of two metabolite-binding aptamers domains with similar structures in tandem. The aptamers cooperatively bind glycine to regulate the expression of downstream genes.
Source: RNAcentral